UACGGGAGGCAGCAGUGGGGAAUAUUGCACAAUGGGCGCAAGCCUGAUGCAGCCAUGCCGCGUGUAUGAAAAAGGCCUUCGGGUUGUAAAGUACUUUCAGUCGUGAGGAAGGUGUUAAGGUUAAUAACCUUAGCAAUUGACGUUAGCGACAGAAGAAGCACCGGCUAACUCCGUGCCAGCAGCCGCGGUAAUACGGAGGGUGCGAGCGUUAAUCGGAAUUACUGAGCGUAAAGGGCACGCAGGCGGUUAAUUAAGUUGGAUGUGAAAUCCCCGGGCUUAACCUGGGAAUGGCAUUCAAGACUGGUUAGCUAGAGUCUUGUAGAGGGGGUAGAAUUCCAUGUGUAGCGGUGAAAUGCGUAGAGAUGUGGAGGAAUACCGGUGGCGAAGGCGGCCCCUGGACAAAGACUGACGCUCAUGUGCGAAAGCGUGGGGAGCAAACG
This 440-nucleotide ribosomal RNA is filed under the name uncultured bacterium. RNAcentral's name for it is "bacterial SSU rRNA". It matches the Rfam family "Bacterial small subunit ribosomal RNA", at positions 340 to 774 of the family's 1533-position model. The record is from RNAcentral.